RNAcentral lists this ribosomal RNA (1049 nucleotides) under Tubaphe levii. RNAcentral describes it as "partial large subunit ribosomal RNA". Lineage: Eukaryota; Metazoa; Arthropoda; Diplopoda; Polydesmida; Xystodesmidae. The record is from RNAcentral.
GAUUAUAUUAAGGGUUGUUGAUAUUAUUAUAAUAUAUUAGAUGAGUAUAAUGAGUGAAAAUUAGGGUUGCUUUAUAGAGAAAUGAGUACUGUUUAGGAAUUUAAAAUAUUUGUUAAAAAUAUUAGGUUAAUUAGUACCUUUUGUAUUAGGGUUUUUUAAUUUGAUUUAGAAUUAAUCUAGAUCUUGAUGAAUAUCGGGCUAUUAUUUAAGAGUGAUGGUUUUGUUGCAUAAAAUUUUUUAUUAUUUAAUAGUUAUGAAAUAUUAUUCAAGUUAUUUUUUAUCUAGUUUUCUAAGGAGUAUAAUGGUAGGUAUUUAUAUUAUGGAGGUAAGCGGGGAUUAGCUUGUUUAUUAUUUAUAUAUUUUAUUUUAAAUUUAUUGUUGGUGAAGUUGAAAGUGCUUAGUUAGAUGGUAUUAUUACAGAUUAAAAUUUAUUGUUAAUUUUUUAAGAAUUAUGUUUGAAUUGGGAAUUUUAUUUUAAUUUUUGUUUUAAUGGUAUAAUGAUAAAAUUAGUAAUAUUUGUAUAUUUAUUUAAUUAGUUGUUAAAUUAUUUUUGUAAGUAAGUUAUAGCAAAAUAUUAGGAGUAAAGAAUUAGGCAAAAAUAAACUUUUGACUGUUUAGCAAAAACAUUGUUUUUUGUUGAGAUAAAAAAUAAGUUCUGUCCGCUGCUGGAAGGUGAAGGGCUGCAGUAUUUUGACUGUAUGAAGGUAGCAUAAUCAUUAGCUUUUUAAUUGGGAGCUGGUAUGAAGGUGAAACAGAGGUUGGCUGUUUUGUUCUUAAUUGGUGAAUUUUAUUUUUAUGUGAAAAAUCAUGAGUGGGUUAAAGGGACAAGAAGACCCUAGUAAGUUUUAUUUUUUAUUGUAAUGCAUAUAUAGGUUAUAAAAUUUGUAUAAUUUAUGAUUAGGGGGUUUGACUGGGGCGGUAUGUUAAUAAACAUUAUAUAUUUUUUAAUUUUUGAUAACGAUAAUAAAGACCUAAGUGGGUUAGUUGAGUGUAAAACUACUGUAGGGAUAACAGCGUAAUUUUUUUUAAGAGUUCUUAUUGACAGAAAA